CGUGGGAUAGCUGGGUCAUCUGGUAAUUCCACUCUUACUAGUUUUUUGAGAAAUCUCCAUACUGCUUUCCAGAGUGGUUGCACCAAUUUGCAGUUCCACCAGCAAA
This 106-nucleotide microRNA precursor is filed under the name Marmota monax (woodchuck). The record is from RNAcentral. Lineage: Eukaryota; Metazoa; Chordata; Mammalia; Rodentia; Sciuridae.